RNAcentral lists this ribosomal RNA (465 nucleotides) under Vreelandella stevensii. RNAcentral's name for it is "partial 16S ribosomal RNA". It matches the Rfam family "Bacterial small subunit ribosomal RNA", at positions 338 to 795 of the family's 1533-position model. Lineage: Bacteria; Pseudomonadati; Pseudomonadota; Gammaproteobacteria; Oceanospirillales; Halomonadaceae. The record is from RNAcentral.
CCUACGGGAGGCAGCAGUGGGGAAUAUUGGACAAUGGGGGCAACCCUGAUCCAGCCAUGCCGCGUGUGUGAAGAAGGCCCUCGGGUUGUAAAGCACUUUCAGUGAGGAAGAACGCCUGGUGGUGAAUACCCAUCAGGAAAGACAUCACUCACAGAAGAAGCACCGGCUAACUCCGUGCCAGCAGCCGCGGUAAUACGGAGGGUGCGAGCGUUAAUCGGAAUUACUGGGCGUAAAGCGCGCGUAGGUGGCUUGAUAAGCCGGUUGUGAAAGCCCCGGGCUCAACCUGGGAACGGCAUCCGGAACUGUCAAGCUAGAGUACAGGAGAGGAAGGUAGAAUUCCCGGUGUAGCGGUGAAAUGCGUAGAGAUCGGGAGGAAUACCAGUGGCGAAGGCGGCCUUCUGGACUGACACUGACACUGAGGUGCGAAAGCGUGGGUAGCAAACAGGAUUAGAUACCCCGGUAGUC